AGGACGAACGCUUGCGACGUGCCUAAGAAAUGCAAGUCGAACGGAAUUACCUUCGGGUAGUUUAGUGGCGAACGGUCGCGUAACACGUAGGCAACCUGCCCUGAAGCGGGGGACAACAACUCGAAAGAGUUGCUAAUACCGCAUGUGUAUCGGAAUGGCAUCAUUCAGGAUACAAAGGACUUCGGUUCACUUCAGGAUGGGCCUGCGGCCUAUCAGCUAGUUGGUAAGGUAAUGGCUUACCAAGGCUUCGACGGGUAGCUGGUCUGAGAGGACGAUCAGCCGGAUUGGGACUGAGAUACGGCCCAGACUCCUACGGGGGGCAGCAAUUAGGAAUCUUGCGCAAUGGGCGAAAGCCUGACGCAGCGACGUCGCGUGAAGGAUGAAAUCUUUCGGGAUGUAAACUUCUUUUACCAGGGAAGAAACAAUGACGGUACCUGGUGAAUAAGCCCCGGCUAACUACGUGCCAGCAGCCGC
This 474-nucleotide ribosomal RNA is filed under the name uncultured bacterium. Its description in RNAcentral is "SSU rRNA". It matches the Rfam family "Bacterial small subunit ribosomal RNA", at positions 26 to 518 of the family's 1533-position model. The record is from RNAcentral.